RNAcentral lists this ribosomal RNA (253 nucleotides) under uncultured bacterium. RNAcentral's name for it is "partial 16S ribosomal RNA". It matches the Rfam family "Bacterial small subunit ribosomal RNA", at positions 524 to 776 of the family's 1533-position model. The record is from RNAcentral.
UACGUAGGGGGCUAGCGUUGUCCGGAUUUAUUGGGCGUAAAGAGCGUGUAGGCGGCCAGGUAGGUCUGCUGUGAAAACUCGAGGCUCAACCUCGAGACGUCGGCGGAAACCAUCUGGCUAGAGUCCGGAAGAGGAGAGUGGAAUUCCUGGUGUAGCGGUGAAAUGCGCAGAUAUCGGGAAGAACACCCGUGGCGAAGGCGGCUCUCUGGGACGGUACUGACGCUGAGACGCGAAAGCGUGGGGAGCGAACAGG